CACGUAGGGCGCAAGCGUUGUCCGGAAUUAUUGGGCGUAAAGAGCUCGUAGGUGGUUUGUUACGUCUGCUGUGAAAACCUAGGGCUUAACCCUGGGCCUGCAGUGGAUACGGGCAGACUAGAGGUAGGUAGGGGAGAAUGGAAUUCCCGGUGUAGCGGUGAAAUGCGCAGAUAUCGGGAGGAACACCGGUGGCGAAGGCGGUUCUCUGGGCCUUACCUGACACUGGGGAGCGAAAGCGUGGGGAGCGAACAGG
RNAcentral lists this ribosomal RNA (253 nucleotides) under uncultured bacterium. Its description in RNAcentral is "partial 16S ribosomal RNA". It matches the Rfam family "Bacterial small subunit ribosomal RNA", at positions 524 to 776 of the family's 1533-position model. The record is from RNAcentral.